GCUACCGAAGGCAUCAGUAACAUCAGCUACAGGAACAAAACAAAGGCUCACAAGCAUAUGAGUUUGCUUACGCAAGGUAUUGUCGACGGGAUCAUUAUAGGCAACUUGAAGGCCUUCUGCUUGGAUUUUUCUAUAUAUAGACUGUUUGAGAUGAAAAUAGCAACAAUUUAUUUGAGUGUUAGGAUAUUCCGAGUGACAUGCAUUUAUAAUGGCUAAUUCGUAAUCAGAAACAAUCCUCUGAGGUCUACAGUGAUGUAUUCCGUACGCCACAGCAGCAGAAGUAACUGAUUUGAAAACAGCUUGGUACUGAUGGGUUUCUUUGGAUGAUAGGAGGGCAUACACCAAAGGAGAAGCUAUGACGGUCGGUUGAUGGUGAAACCUUGAAAGUGACAUCUACGUACCAAGUGUCACUGUCGACUAAUCGCUCCAAGUUAUUUCGUGUGGCGAAAACCAAUACGCGUCCCUCACCAAAAGUGUCAUCCCCUCGAGAGUCAUAGCAGAGAAAGCGUUCGUUGGACAAUGUUUUUUGAAAACGGUCAGGCAGUUCCUCGACGUCGUCUAAACUCUUCGGGUUAGGUGGUAGGUGCCGUCUCCUUUCCCUCCUUACACUCUUUUUUAGGCUCUCACGCUCAGGGAGUUUUGCCAAAACUUCAGGACGCAAGUCACCGAGAUGUUCGCGUAAAAUCUAUUUUAUAAAAUAUGCAAUUUUUUCUAAUUUCUAAUUUGUUAUAAAAAAUUGAGACAAAGAAUCUUGUAUUAAAUGUAAUAUUGUUUUUUUAUUAUAUUGUCGUAGCGGUCUGUGCAUAAUACGCUGAGCAUAGUGAAGCGAAUAUUCGUGUCGGUAAACGACCGAAUUAAUUGAUUUUGUUCUUAAACUUGACGACUUCACCGUUCCUGUUUGUGAUCAACGCAACGAGUACUCGAGAGCGAGAAAUAUACCUGUGAUAAGAAAGCUAUAAUCUAAUUAACGUGGUGGCCUGCAAAGCGGUCCAUUGAAUUACGAUCCUCUUAAGAGUAGCUGUGUAAACGCCAGUAUUUGCGAUCACAUUGUUAUAUUGAACGAACGACCUGUAUGUGUAUAUAUUUAAAUCAACGUAUCUGAUCAGAUAUUAAUUAUAAUAAUUAAAUUGUAUAGUCCGAAUCAAGUUUUGAAAGUAUAUUUAUCCCUCAAGCGACUUUUACUGCUCUAUCGAAACUGAUACCAAAAAUUUUCCCGAGUGAAUCUGCGGUCACCUAUUACAGCCCUUAUAAAAAUGAAAAUGGCGUUGUGGUUCAAACUUCAGGCACGCUAUGGUCGCAUUAUAAUUAUGUUAUUGAGAUUCUAAGAAAGACAGGAGUAUUAAAACAUCCACGUCAUCUUGUGGAACAGAAACCUCAAGCUGAAGAAUCUUCAGAAGAAAUAUUGAAUUGUAUUCUGGCAAAAUUUCAAUUACGGAUUAUUUGAAUAAGUAUCCGGUUUUAAAAACACAAGACGCAAAGCAGUUGUUCGAGCUUGACUUCGAUCUUCGUUAUCCAGAAAAAAAAGAUCUGGUAAAAAUCAGGUGGCCAGGUAUAAAAAGUGUCAUUACUUCACAAUUAAUUCAAUUGGAGACAAAAGCUGCUACUGGUCGUUCGAAACUUCCAACUGCAGAUGUUCUUCUUAUAAAAGGAUUGGGGAAAUUAGAAGAAGAUGAGAAAGACCAAAAAUAUUUUGAUUUGCUUAAUUUCCUUUUUUGAAUGAAAUAAUUACAAGAAUGUUUAUAAUUUUUUAACUUAAAUUUAUUUUUAAA
Molecule: long non-coding RNA, 1769 nt
Organism: Leptopilina boulardi
Lineage: Eukaryota; Metazoa; Arthropoda; Insecta; Hymenoptera; Figitidae
Exons: 5
Source: RefSeq, a predicted model, not a curated record